AUUAAGACUCUCGGCAACGGAUAUCUCGGCUCUUACAUAGAUGAAGAAGGUAGCGAAAUGCGAUACUUGGUGUGAAUUGCAGAAUCCCGUGAACCAUCGAGUCUUUGAACGCAAGUUGCGCCCGAGGCCUUCGGGUCGAGGGCACGCCUGCCUGGGCGUCACGCC
RNAcentral lists this ribosomal RNA (165 nucleotides) under Gagea albertii. Its description in RNAcentral is "5.8S ribosomal RNA". It matches the Rfam family "5.8S ribosomal RNA". Rfam says of the family: 5.8S ribosomal RNA (5.8S rRNA) is a component of the large subunit of the eukaryotic ribosome. It is transcribed by RNA polymerase I as part of the 45S precursor that also contains 18S and 28S rRNA. The record is from RNAcentral. Lineage: Eukaryota; Viridiplantae; Streptophyta; Magnoliopsida; Liliales; Liliaceae.